RNAcentral lists this ribosomal RNA (329 nucleotides) under uncultured eukaryote. Its description in RNAcentral is "partial 18S ribosomal RNA". It matches the Rfam family "Eukaryotic small subunit ribosomal RNA", at positions 1470 to 1796 of the family's 1831-position model. The record is from RNAcentral.
CCCUUAGAUGUUCUGGGCCGCACGCGCGCUACAAUGAUGAAUUCAACGAGUUUAUAACCUUGGUUGAAAAGCCUGGGUAAUCUUUUGAACUUUCGUCGUGAUGGGGCUAGACCCUUGCAAUUAUUGGUCUCCAACGAGGAAUUCCUAGUAAACGCAAGUCAUCAGCUUACAUUGAUUACGUCCCUGCCCUUUGUACACACCGCCCGUCGCACCUACCGAUUGAAUGGUCCGGUGAAAUCUUCGGAUUGAGACUUUGAUUUCUUCACGGAAAACGCUGUUUUAAAAAGUUGAUUAAACCUUACCAUUUAGAGGAAGGUGAAGUCGUAACA